This 253-nucleotide ribosomal RNA is filed under the name uncultured bacterium. RNAcentral's name for it is "partial 16S ribosomal RNA". It matches the Rfam family "Bacterial small subunit ribosomal RNA", at positions 524 to 776 of the family's 1533-position model. The record is from RNAcentral.
CACGUAGGAGGCAAGCGUUAUCCGGAAUUACUGGGUGUAAAGGGAGAGUAGGCGGCAAGGUAAGCGAUAUGUGAAAGCCUUAGGCUUAACCUGAGGAUUGCAUAACGAACUAUCUAGCUAGAGUACAGGAGAGGAAAGCGGAAUUCCUAGUGUAGCGGUGAAAUGCGUAGAUAUUAGGAAAAACACCAGUGGCGAAGGCGGCUUUCUGGACUGAAACUGACGCUGAGGCUCGAAAGCGUGGGGAGCGAACAGG